This 360-nucleotide unclassified non-coding RNA is filed under the name uncultured bacterium. RNAcentral describes it as "contains 16S-23S intergenic spacer region". The record is from RNAcentral.
UCCGGGUUGGUCCCGGCGGUCCCGCUAGACACCGUAACUAGCGGCAGGGGUUGCGCUCGUUGCGCCACUUAAGGCAACACCUCACGGCACGAGCUGACGACAGCCAUGCACCACCCGUGCGGGCUCCGAAGGGAGACCGUGUUUCCACGGCUGUCACCUACAUGUCAAGCCCAGGUAAGGUUCUUCGCGUUGCAUCGAAUUAAUCCACAUCAUCCACCGCUUGUGCGGGUCCCUGUCAAUUCCUUUGAGUUUUAACCUUGCGGCCGUACUCCCCAGGCGGUCAACUUCACGCGUUAGCUUCGUUACUAAUGGGUUUAACCCCACCAACAACCAGUUGACAUCGUUUAGGGCGUGGACUAC